ACGACGCUGGCGGCGUGCCUAAUACAUGCAAGUCGAACGAACGGAUAAAGAGCUUGCUCUUUUGAAGUCAGUGGCGGACGGGUGAGUAACACGUGGGUAACCUGCCUCACAGCUGGGGAUAACAUCGAGAAAUCGAUGCUAAUACCGAAUGUGCUGAACAUCAUAAGAUGUUCAAGUGAAAGACGGUUUCGGCUGUCACUGUGAGAUGGACCCGCGCUGGAUUAGCUAGUUGGUAAGGUAAUGGCUUACCAAGGCGACGAUCCAUAGCCGACCUGAGAGGGUGAUCGGCCACAUUGGGACUGAGACACGGCCCAAACUCCUACGGGAGGCAGCAGUAGGGAAUCUUCGGCAAUGGACGAAAGUCUGACCGAGCAACGCCGCGUGAGCGAAGAAGGCCUUCGGGUCGUAAAGCUCUGUUGUUAGAGAAGAACAUGGGUGAGAGUAACUGUUCACCCCUUGACGGUAUCUAACCAGAAAGCCACGGCUAACUACGUG
RNAcentral lists this ribosomal RNA (495 nucleotides) under uncultured bacterium. RNAcentral describes it as "bacterial SSU rRNA". It matches the Rfam family "Bacterial small subunit ribosomal RNA", at positions 32 to 507 of the family's 1533-position model. The record is from RNAcentral.